GAUGAACGCUGGCGGCGUGCUUAACACAUGCAAGUCGAACGAAGCACUUUAUUUGAUUUCCUUCGGGACUGAUUAUUUUGUGACUGAGUGGCGGACGGGUGAGUAACGCGUGGGUAACCUGCCUUGUACAGGGGGAUAACAGUUGGAAACGGCUGCUAAUACCGCAUAAGCGCACGGCAUCGCAUGAUGCAGUGUGAAAAACUCCGGUGGUAUAAGAUGGACCCGCGUUGGAUUAGCUAGUUGGUGAGGUAACGGCCCACCAAGGCGACGAUCCAUAGCCGACCGGGGAGGGUGACCGGCCACAUUGGGACUGAGACACGGCCCAAACUCCUACGGGAGGCAGCAGUGGGGAAUAUUGCACAAUGGGCGAAAGCCUGAUGCAGCGACGCCGCGUGAGCGAAGAAGUAUUUCGGUAUGUAAAGCUCUAUCAGCAGGGAAGAUAAUGACGGUACCUGACUAAGAAGCACCGGCUAAAUACGUG
RNAcentral lists this ribosomal RNA (481 nucleotides) under uncultured bacterium. Its description in RNAcentral is "partial 16S ribosomal RNA". It matches the Rfam family "Bacterial small subunit ribosomal RNA", at positions 28 to 507 of the family's 1533-position model. The record is from RNAcentral.